This 503-nucleotide ribosomal RNA is filed under the name uncultured bacterium. Its description in RNAcentral is "partial 16S ribosomal RNA". It matches the Rfam family "Bacterial small subunit ribosomal RNA", at positions 28 to 523 of the family's 1533-position model. The record is from RNAcentral.
GAUGAACGCUAGCGGCAGGCCUAACACAUGCAAGUCGAGGGGUAGCAGGAUUAAGCUUGCUUAAUUGCUGACGACCGGCGCACGGGUGCGCAACGCGUAUGCAACCUACCUUAUACUGGGGUAUAGCCCGGAGAAAUUCGGAUUAAUCCCCCAUAGUACUAAUGAAUCGCAUGGUUUAUUAGUUAAAGCAUUGCGGUAUAAGAUGGGAAUGCGUCCUAUUAGCUAGGUGGUGAGGUAACGGCUCACCAUGGCUACGAUAGGUAGGGGGCCUGAGAGGAUGGUCGUCCACGCUGGUACUGAGACACGGACCAGACUCCUACGGGAGGCAGCGGUGAGGAAUAUUGGUCAAUGGGCGCAAGCCUGAACCAGCCAUGCCGCGUGCAGGAAGAAUGCCCUAUGGGUUGUAAACUGCUUUUAUUUGGGAAUAAACCUCUUUACGUGUAGAGAGCUGAAGGUACCAAAUGAAUAAGCACCGGCUAACUCCGUGCCAGCCGCCGCGGUAA